UACGUAGGGUGCAAGCGUUAAUCGGAAUUACUGGGCGUAAAGCGUGCGCAGGCGGUUUUGUAAGACAGGCGUGAAAUCCCCGGGCUCAACCUGGGAACUGCAUUUGUGACUGCAAGGCUAGAGUACGGCAGAGGGGGAUGGAAUUCCGCGUGUAGCAGUGAAAUGCGUAGAUAUGCGGAGGAACACCAAUGGCGAAGGCAAUCCCCUGGGCCUGUACUGACGCUCAUACACGAAAGCGUGGGGAGCAAACAGG
RNAcentral lists this ribosomal RNA (253 nucleotides) under uncultured bacterium. Its description in RNAcentral is "partial 16S ribosomal RNA". It matches the Rfam family "Bacterial small subunit ribosomal RNA", at positions 524 to 776 of the family's 1533-position model. The record is from RNAcentral.